AUUGAACGCUGGCGACGUGCUUAACACAUGCAAGUCGUGCGAGAAAGUAGACUUCGGUCUAUGAGUAGAGCGGCGCACGGGUGAGUAACGCGUGGAUGAUCUACCCUUGAGUUCGGGAUAACGGUGCGAAAGCGCCGCUAAUACCGUAUAACAAUCCAUUUCAUCGUGGGUUCAAAGCAGGCCUCUUCGUGAAAGCUUGCGCUUGGGGAUGAGUCCGCGUCCCAUUAGCUUGUUGGCGGGGUAACGGCCCACCAAGGCUACGAUGGGUAGCUGGUCUGAGAGGAUGAUCAGCCACACUGGAACUGAAACACGGUCCAGACUCCUACGGGUGGCUG
RNAcentral lists this ribosomal RNA (335 nucleotides) under uncultured Pseudomonadota bacterium. RNAcentral's name for it is "bacterial SSU rRNA". It matches the Rfam family "Bacterial small subunit ribosomal RNA", at positions 30 to 351 of the family's 1533-position model. The record is from RNAcentral. Lineage: Bacteria; Pseudomonadati; Pseudomonadota.